RNAcentral lists this ribosomal RNA (253 nucleotides) under uncultured bacterium. RNAcentral's name for it is "partial 16S ribosomal RNA". It matches the Rfam family "Bacterial small subunit ribosomal RNA", at positions 524 to 776 of the family's 1533-position model. The record is from RNAcentral.
UACGUAGGUGACCAGCGUUGUCCGGAUUUACUGGGCGUAAAGAGCGCGCAGGCGGUCGUUCAAGUCGAGUGUGAAAGCCCCCGGCUCAACUGGGGAGGGUCAUUCGAUACUGAUCGACUCGAAGGCAGGAGAGGGAAGCGGAAUUCCCGGUGUAGUGGUGAAAUGCGUAGAUAUCGGGAGGAACACCAGUGGCGAAGGCGGAGACCUGGGCACAUACUGACGCUGAGGUGCGAAAGCGUGGGGAGCAAACAGG